This is a long non-coding RNA of Amblyraja radiata (thorny skate), 117 nucleotides long. RefSeq lists it as uncharacterized. Lineage: Eukaryota; Metazoa; Chordata; Chondrichthyes; Rajiformes; Rajidae. The record is from RefSeq and is a predicted model, not a curated record. The transcript has 3 exons.
UCGCACCUGGAGUAUGGUGGUGCCUAAUGGCAGCGGCUCAACUGCAGUCCGUCUGUCUUUUUUUUUUUUUGUCCAUUAGAUGUAUGUUUUUGGUUCUAAUUUUUAUUAUUUUUUAGC